UUAAAAAUGUUGAGCAAAGCGAGACCAUCUUGCUAGUAAAUAAAUACAAUUUUGAAAAUAGAGGCAGCUCCCUGGUAAGUGCUGCUAUUUAAGCUAUUUCUAGAACAGGCCAGCGGGCUACUCAUCUGGUCCUUAUGGCCUACCUGGCGCCCGCGGGCACCAUGUUGGUGACCCCUGCGAUAGACUGACCACACCUCCUCUUUUCACGGGAAAUGUCCUCUUUGCGGAGCUGUUCAGGUGGAGUUUCUUAAAUGCCUCAAAUGUCCGGCAUUUUAAGUUAAGGGUUGCGUGUAUUUUCAAUGUACGUUCAGGGUUAAGAAGGGGUUAAAAACAAAAAGUGCUGCACGGCAGCAACAUUCGUGAGGAAGGGGGAGACAGAGAGAGCGAGAGAGUUAUGAUAAAUGCGCAUGCGUCGCCAGACUCUACUUUUUAACCAUAGAUUUAUUAAAUUUUAUUUUUUAUUAUCUAUAGCAGUGGUGUCAAAAGUGUGCACCGGAGGCCAUUUCCCGCCCACAGCUAAUGUUUAAAAGGCCCACUGUCAGGCAUGAACUUGGAUUGUUUGUGCUCCUUCGACGCAGAGGGAUUACAGGAUGAGCCAGACGUGACUGUUAGCACCAGGCAGAAAAAGCAAAGCGAAAGAACUCAGCAGAAGUUCCCAAAAACAGGAACAGAAACCCAAAAGCCGGUCUGACGGGUUUGCCGAGUGAUACCAGCUGAACUGCCUUCAAGUAAACACACACACGCACGCACACGCACACACACACUUUCUAAGGUAAACAUCCUUCAUGGUGACAUCAUAAUUGUCAGUCAAAGCUGAAAUGGCCUGAAAUGCUAACAAUUAACACGGUGUUCGGUAGUGUCCGAUAAAAACAAAUACCACCAUUAUAGCUACAACAGUUUGCAUGCAUCAAGUAUCAAAAUAUUGACUGUGAACUAUAUACCUGCAAAUAUGGUAAUUGAUAACAUGCUAAAGUUAGAAUGCCAACUGUAAAUAUGUGUCAAAAAACAAAAUAUAUAACUAAGUUGGAGACGUGCAAGAAUAGAUUAGAAAAUAAAAACAUUGUUUUUUUUAGCACCGGACUAAAGAGUGCACCAGUAUACAAGCCACACCCACUAAAUUUAAGUAGAACAUUUUUUCCAUAUAUAAGUUGCACCAAACUAUAAGUCACAUAUAUAUACAUUGUGAAAUGAGUUAGUGACACAGAAAUGUUUAUUUACAUACCUUAAUUUGUUUUCAAAUGGCGUCUGUAAAAGAGCGGUAAAACGGCUGAUCAAACAAAACAGAACUCAUGGUCAUGGACCCACUAGCUGCGCAAGCUAGCUCUCCAAUCAGCACAACAGGCUCAAUAACUCCACAGGUGAUGUUUUGGUGACUUUACUGAGGAAUUUGUGAAAGUGAAACUAUACAAAAAGAAUGUAAGUUAAUAAUACUAACACAGACACUCAUAAACGUGUAAGCAUAUUAGCUAAUGCUAACGACGCUAGCUUGAUUGCAUUACAAAAUGCAAAUAUGCAUGAAAAACACUCCUACAGACAUCACACAUGGGACGCUUUAGUCAGUAAGAAUUGUUUUAGUUAUAUUGUAAAACUUACAAUUGUUGCUUGGAGUGAUGAAUGAAGAAUCCAUAUGAGUAGAAACGCUAUGGACGGAACGGCACUUGUACUUCCUGUAACUUAAAAGCACUAAAUGGAAGGACACUGCAGCGCCUGCAGUGAGUGAACUCAUCCAAAGAAUGGCGUCAUGGCACCAACAAUAAAAACACCUUCUCAGUU
Molecule: long non-coding RNA, 1773 nt
Organism: Nerophis ophidion (straightnose pipefish)
Lineage: Eukaryota; Metazoa; Chordata; Actinopteri; Syngnathiformes; Syngnathidae
Exons: 2
Source: RefSeq, a predicted model, not a curated record